RNAcentral lists this ribosomal RNA (255 nucleotides) under uncultured bacterium. RNAcentral's name for it is "partial small subunit ribosomal RNA". It matches the Rfam family "Bacterial small subunit ribosomal RNA", at positions 26 to 286 of the family's 1533-position model. The record is from RNAcentral.
AGGACGAACGCUGGCGGCGUGCUUCAUACAUGCAAGUCGAGCGGAAAGGCCCUUCGGGGUACUCGAGCGGCGAACGGGUGAGUAACACGUGAGUAACCUGCCCCAGACUUUGGGAUAACCCUCGGAAACGGGGGCUAAUACCGAAUAUGACUUUGACCCGCAUGGGUUUUUGUGGAAAGUUUUUCGGUUUGGGAUGGACUCGCGGCCUAUCAGCUUGUUGGUGAGGUAAUGGCUCACCAAGGCGAGGACGGGUAG